CCUGUUCCUGAUGAGAUCUCUUCAAAGAGUACUGCAAGACUCAUACCCUCAUUGGUUUCUGGUCUUAGCUCAAAUGAUAUCUUCUUAACGAGUUUCUCCCUGGCAACUCUAUUUAAAAUGAUAACCCUCUUUCCUCCUGUGUUCUGGGUACACUCUGUCUUUCUUCUGUGGUUGACUUAUCCAUGGCUCUCACCAUCAUUGACUUAUUAUAUGUCCCACUUGUUUAUUUUGUUUUCAGUCUUGUGCCACUAGUAUGUAAUUCCAUGAGAAAAAAAAAUAAUUUUUAUCUAUUUUGUUCAUUGCUGCGCACUCUGGGACCUUCAGUGGUACCUAGAACAAUAGUUGCUCAAUGAAUAUGUGUUGAAGGAAGGAAUGUAGUCCACACCUUGAGAAACUUCUCUGUAGGAUAUGUAGAUUUGGGCAGCUGAGGUCACAAAGAGUUCUCAAACAUUUUAAAAUCUUCAUUUACACAAACCCUAAUGUGCAUCUUUUAAAAGAGCUGCUGCUUGUUAAGAUGGAAGCUUCUAGAACACAUAGGUGGAAUGGAUAAAGGAAACACUCCUGCAACUCUUCAGAAGGCUAGAAAAACAGUCCAGCUCAUUGAAAGAGCAUGUAGAGUUUUAGAGAGAAAAAAACUGCAAUUAUUCAAAAUAACAAUUUUUUGAGCAAAGUCUGCAUUCUCAACUUUGUUGCUUUCUAGAGGCCUCUGAAUUUAGAGGACAAGGCUCCAGAUACAAAUAAUUCUGAUGUGUUUCUCUUCUUCCCAGAGCCAACUUUUCUUAUUUUUGAAGGAAGGACACAUGCUUAUGAUUGGCAUUUCCUUUAGGCUCUGGAAAUUGUCCUCUAUCACCAUCCAGAUAAAAUCUCUCUCGCCUGCUCUUAACACUGAAGGACUGAGUGAAUUCCAAGUGCAGUCUUGCUGAGUGACUCAUAUCCCCAUUUCACAUGAUUUGGACCUUAUUUAGCCAAGGACAUUUAAGAGCUUCUGGAUGAAUUAUUUAAGGAAUGAGCAAGGAGACAUGAGAUGUACAUCCUGAGAUUCAAGUUUAACUCAGCAGAACGAGUUGGAGGCAAGAAAACAAGCACAUCAUGUAUGUGUGAGAUUGGAGGCUCAACAGUCCAGAACAAGGCUUUAGACAAUUUACAUGAUAGAAUUUGGCGGAAGACUACUACCUUGAUAUUGUCAGAAAAUGGAAGGGCAAAAUGAGAUAAUUAGCAUUGAUUUAUAGUUACUGGGCUCCUUAGGUCUCAUAGUAUAAAGCCCAAGGAACUUACUGCAAAUAUGAUUUCUUCACUUGCUAGUAAAGUGUCACUCACAUAACAUAUUAUAAUAUUCUGCAGUUGACACGAGACCUUUCCUGGUUGUAGGCAUGAUAAUCUGAUAAUAACCCAUCUAGGGCUGGGGUUGUAGCUCAGUGGUAGAGCACUUGCCUAGCACGUGUGAGGUACUGGCUUCAAUCCUCUGUACCACAUAAAAAUAAAUAAAUAAAAUAAAGGUAUUAUGUACCUUUAUGACAAAAAAUAAGCCAAAAACAAACAAACAAACAACAAAC
Molecule: long non-coding RNA, 1553 nt
Filed under: Marmota monax (woodchuck)
Lineage: Eukaryota; Metazoa; Chordata; Mammalia; Rodentia; Sciuridae
Source: RNAcentral